AAAGUUAACAACUAUAGGUCACCAUACAUCCUUUAACCAUGAGCAAAGCCCAUACAUUAUACCAUAUAUACUGUAAAUUCUGAAAUAUUGUGUGCAUUUAUUAUUGCCACCAUUGCCAUUUUCAGUGGCAGAUCCAGAAAUUUUCAUAAGUGAGGGCCCACUGACUGCCUAAGAGGGGGCCCGCUCCGGUCAUGAUUCAGUGAUUCCCUAUAUA
Molecule: long non-coding RNA, 214 nt
Filed under: Mytilus galloprovincialis (Mediterranean mussel)
Lineage: Eukaryota; Metazoa; Mollusca; Bivalvia; Mytilida; Mytilidae
Source: RNAcentral